AAGGCUUCAGCACGACCCAGUCAGAACUAUAAGUCUCAAAGCCCCGAUGAGUAGGGUGGCGUGCCGGUGCGCGUUGAAGGCCAAGACGUGAGUCAGGCUGGAGCCGCCGGUAGUGCAGAUCUUGGUGGUAGUAGCAAGUACUCUGGUGAACCAACCUGGAGCUGUGAGGUCUGGAUUAGGGUUCCAUGUCAACAGUGAUUGAACAUGGGUGAGUCGAACCUAAGCCAACUGUGAAAGCAGUGACAUCCCGACAAAGGGGCACAUACACCCCCAAUCAAAGCUCUCGUAUUGCUCUCUCUCUCUCUCCUCCUCCUCACUAUGACACGAUAAGAUAUACAUGUGACACACGGCACAUGUCUGGCUCUGGUUCUGGUUACGCUCAUAAGCGUUGGCGCAAACAAUGUGGAUAAACGAUGCAUGGCAUACAAAACAAAGAGAGAGAGAAACGGAGUUGGGUGAGCGUGAGUGCACUCCUGCGUUGGUUCUAUGUCCGGCGAAAGGGAAUGGGGACUUUGUUCCUUGACCGGUCCUGGCACCCUCGAUUGGCUUUGCCAAUUAAUGGUCCAUGCAAAUGGAACCAGCCCACAGCCGUUGGCAGUCGCCCGAGGAAGAGUUUUCUUUUCUGCUUAACGCACGAGGUCAUCCCUGGAAACAGUUCGGCUGGCGAAAGGGUGCCCCGCUGCGGCAGAGCGCCACGACUGUCGUGCGCGUCUCGGUGUUCCUGCUGAUCCGUGAAGACGUGGUCGAGGGGAAUGCUCUUGUAUCAACGAAACGCCUGACAAGUUCGGGACGGACCGUACCCUAUAUCCGCAUCUGGUCUCCAAGGUUCCUAGCCUCUGCAGAGUCAGUCACAUGUAGGUAAGGGAAGUCGGCAAACUCGAUCCGUAACUUCGGGAAAAGGAUUGGCUCUGAGGGCCGAGCUGGGCCGGGCCUUGCCUGCAAAGCAGUACCUAUAGUGACCGGAGUUGCAGGAGUGCGAGGGGCUCUAGUAACUGCUCGUGCGUGUGUGUGCGUUCGCGCGUGUGCAUGCGUGUGGGCACGAACGAGUCCACCUCUCCGCUCCAACCACGAACGGCUGUGACGGCAAGGGCUCUGGGCGGGAGCUAUCGGUCCGUUCGCCCCAGCUUGUCUGGGUGGCGGCGGUGCUCCGUCUGUCCCAUACGGCUCCAGCAGCCAGCGGCUAACUCAGAACUGUCAUGGACCAAGGGAAUCCGACUGUCUAAUUAAAACAAAGCGUCGUGACGGCCCC
RNAcentral lists this ribosomal RNA (1249 nucleotides) under Niphargus sp. ND195. RNAcentral's name for it is "partial large subunit ribosomal RNA". It matches the Rfam family "Eukaryotic large subunit ribosomal RNA", at positions 1324 to 2171 of the family's 3401-position model. The record is from RNAcentral. Lineage: Eukaryota; Metazoa; Arthropoda; Malacostraca; Amphipoda; Niphargidae.